GAUGAACGCUAGCGGCAGGCUUAAUACAUGCAAGUCGAACGGCAGCAUGCACUUCGGUGUGAUGGCGAGUGGCGCACGGGUGAGUAACGCGUACAGAAUCUACCUUUUACAGGGGGAAAGUCGCUGGAAACGGCGAAUAAUCCCGCAUAAGACUACAGCAUCGCAUGGUGCAGGAGUUAAAGCUACGGCGGUAAAAGAUGAUUGUGCGUUCCAUUAGCUAGAUGGUAAGGUAACGGCUUACCAUGGCGACGAUGGGUAGGGGGCGUGAGAGCGUGAUCCCCCACACGGGUACUGAGACACGGACCCGACUCCUACGGGAGGCAGCAGUAAGGAAUAUUGGACAAUGGAGGGAACUCUGAUCCAGCCAUGCCGCGUGUAUGAAGAAGGCCCUAUGGGUUGUAAAGUACUUUUAUCUAGGAAGAAUGGCCGUCAUUUAUGAUGGACGAGACGGUACUAGAGGAAUAAGCACCGGCUAACUCCG
RNAcentral lists this ribosomal RNA (481 nucleotides) under uncultured Saprospira sp. RNAcentral's name for it is "bacterial SSU rRNA". It matches the Rfam family "Bacterial small subunit ribosomal RNA", at positions 28 to 505 of the family's 1533-position model. The record is from RNAcentral. Lineage: Bacteria; Pseudomonadati; Bacteroidota; Saprospiria; Saprospirales; Saprospiraceae.